Molecule: ribosomal RNA, 272 nt
Filed under: unidentified marine bacterioplankton
Lineage: Bacteria
Also listed under: 1 other name
Description: partial 16S ribosomal RNA
Rfam family: Bacterial small subunit ribosomal RNA
Source: RNAcentral
AGCAUGGUCUAGCUUGCUAGACUGAUGGCGAGUGGCGGACGGGUGAGUAACGCGUAGGAAUAUGCCUUAAAGAGGGGGAUAACUUGGGGAAACUCAAGCUAAUACCGCAUAAGCUCUAAGGAGUAAAGCUGGGGACCUUCGGGCCUGGCGCUUUAAGAAUAGCCUGCGUACGAUUAGCUAGUUGGUGGGGUAAAGGCCUACCAAGGCGACGAUCGUUAGCUGGUCUGAGAGGAUGGCCAGCCACACUGGGACUGAGACACGGCCCAGACUCC